Long non-coding RNA from Stegostoma tigrinum, 1197 nucleotides. RefSeq lists it as uncharacterized. NCBI's taxonomy places the organism in Eukaryota, Metazoa, Chordata, Chondrichthyes, Orectolobiformes, Stegostomatidae. The record is from RefSeq and is a predicted model, not a curated record. The transcript is spliced from 3 exons.
CUGGGUUUAAAGCAUAUCCAAGCAUGUCGUGCUCAUGCAAGUUAUCAUUUUCCUCAGAGCUUUUUAAGCUCUUAAAUCAGAUUGGAUGAUGUGCCUUGAAUCACAACAAAGUAGCCUUGAAUGUCGACUGAAAAGAGCUACAGGCUAAUUUUAUACUGAGGAAAACUGUUUUGUGGAUUGACACAGCUUGGUGAAGAGUCUCUGGACAUUUCUUUCUUUUAAAAAUAACAGGAGACAGCUGUAAAUAUUGAAAAGCUGUAGUAAAAGCGGAAAUUGCUAGAGACAUGUAACAAGCUAUUUUCAGCUAUUUCUAAAAUGUCAUCUUCUGCAAAGGCAAUAAAGGCAUUUCAACAUCGAUAUAUAUUGACUUAACAAUGAUAACUUUUGAAAUUCAUUUGAUGGAGCUUCUAUUCGAACAUCUGAUCAUUACUUGGAAUCAAAAAGAUUAUACUAAUGUCAUCGCUACACGACGAUUGGGAAAAAAGUUAAAGACUGCCAUCUAGAGAAGAAGUCCUGCACUGUGCUCCAGUCAUUUGAAAUUAAAUGCAAUCUAGUUUGAAUAUGUAAAAUUAAAACUUUCUAGGUGAGGGUAAUUGCACUGCAGAUAAACUUUUGAGGCAUCAGGAUAAGGACAUUUCUUUCCAGAUAAGCUUGUGCAGUAAACAUUUACAUUAUAUUAUCAGAGCAUUAUAAUAACCUUUACACCAUGCGUGAAGACCUAAUAGUCCUUUCAUUGACUGCAGUGUUUCAUAAAUAUGUUAAUUAUUUUAGUUCCAGCAUUAAUUACCAUGGUCUAGAUUUUUUUUGUGUAUUUUAAUUGCAUCAAUCAGUAGUUGUAGCAAUUCUGUUUAAAAAGUAUGUCUCUCAAGCCAGAUAGAUCCCAUGUACUUUUUUUUCAUUUUCAAAAGCUCCUCUGUUUACAUUGCAACAAUCUUUAAAGAAAAAAUUGUGCAAUAAAAAAAGCAAUGGUGUGUCUUUGUUAUGAUAUCCGAGAUUAGCUUAGCUCUGAAGUGCUGAUGUUGAAAGUAUAUAUGAUUGACAUUCUGGUCCACAUAAACUCCAAAUGUUUAAGUACAGUUCACAAAUUUUACAUGGUUAAAUGAAGUUUACUUUGAUUCUAGUUUUGUUACCCAGCAGGUAGACACUUUGUGCAUCCACUAAUUGUUUAAAUCUCUGCAGAACUAUUGAAGCAAUUAA